This 509-nucleotide ribosomal RNA is filed under the name uncultured bacterium. Its description in RNAcentral is "bacterial SSU rRNA". It matches the Rfam family "Bacterial small subunit ribosomal RNA", at positions 21 to 518 of the family's 1533-position model. The record is from RNAcentral.
GGCUCAGGAUGAACGCUAGCUACAGGCUUAACACAUGCAAGUCGAGGGGCAGCAUGACGAUAGCUUGCUAUUGUUGAUGGCGACCGGCGCACGGGUGAGUAACGCGUAUCCAACCUUCCCUAUAGUAGAGGAUAGCCCGGCGAAAGUCGGAUUAAUACUCUAUGUUUUCCAAUGCAGACAUCUAAAAUGGAACAAAGGCUUGCCGCUAUAGGAUGGGGAUGCGUCUGAUUAGAUAGUAGGCGGGGUAGCGGCCCACCUAGUCAACGAUCAGUAGGGGUUCUGAGAGGAAGGUCCCCCACAUUGGAACUGAGACACGGUCCAAACUCCUACGGGAGGCAGCAGUGAGGAAUAUUGGUCAAUGGGCGAGAGCCUGAACCAGCCAAGUAGCGUGCAAGGAUGACGGCCCUAUGGGUUGUAAACUGCUUUUAUAUAGGGAUAAAGUGCACUACGCGUAGUGUUUUGUAGGUACUAUAUGAAUAAGGACCGGCUAAUUCCGUGCCAGCCGCUGC